UCGGGAACUCCGCCUGUAGCUCCUCUGGGGCCUAAUGCCGGUCCCAAGCCCGGAUAAAGGAGGAGGGUUGG
This 71-nucleotide non-coding RNA is filed under the name Schistosoma mansoni. The record is from RNAcentral. Lineage: Eukaryota; Metazoa; Platyhelminthes; Trematoda; Strigeidida; Schistosomatidae.